GACGUAGGGCGCAAGCGUUGUCCGGAUUUAUUGGGCGUAAAGAGCGUGUAGGCGGCCAGACAAGUCUGCUGUGAAAACUCGAGGCUCAACCUCGAGCUGUCGGUGGAAACUGUCUGGCUAGAGUCCGGAAGAGGAGAGUGGAAUUCCUGGUGUAGCGGUGAAAUGCGCAGAUAUCAGGAAGAACACCUAUGGCGAAGGCAGCUCUCUGGGACGGUACUGACGCUGAGACGCGAAAGCGUGGGGAGCGAACAGG
RNAcentral lists this ribosomal RNA (253 nucleotides) under uncultured bacterium. RNAcentral describes it as "partial 16S ribosomal RNA". It matches the Rfam family "Bacterial small subunit ribosomal RNA", at positions 524 to 776 of the family's 1533-position model. The record is from RNAcentral.